Molecule: ribosomal RNA, 1374 nt
Filed under: uncultured bacterium
Lineage: Bacteria
Description: bacterial SSU rRNA
Rfam family: Bacterial small subunit ribosomal RNA
Source: RNAcentral
GAGUUUGAUCCUGGCUCAGGACCAACGCUGGCGGCGUGCUUAACACAUGCAAGUCGAACGGAAAGGCCCCGCUCGCGGGGUACUCGAGUGGCGAACGGGUGAGUAACACGUGGGUGAUCUGCCCUGCACUUCGGGAUAAGCCUGGGAAACUGGGUCUAAUACCGGAUAUGACCUCCCUUUAGUGUGGGGGGUGGAAAGAUUUAUCGGUGCAGGAUGAGCCCGCGGCCUAUCAGCUUGUUGGUGGGGUAAUGGCCUACCAAGGCGUCGACGGGUAGCCGGCCUGAGAGGGUGGACGGCCACAUUGGGACUGAGAUACGGCCCAGACUCCUACGGGAGGCAGCAGUGGGGAAUAUUGCACAAUGGGCGGAAGCCUGAUGCAGCGACGCCGCGUGGGGGAUGACGGCCUUCGGGUUGUAAACCUCUUUCGACAGGGACGAAGUGAAAAUGACGGUACCUGUAUAAGAAGCACCGGCUAACUACGUGCCAGCAGCCGCGGUAAUACGUAGGGUGCGAGCGUUGUCCGGAAUUACUGGGCGUAAAGAGCUCGUAGGUGGUUUGUCACGUCGUCUGUGAAAUUCCGGGGCUUAACCUCGGGCGUGCAGGCGAUACGGGCAAUACUUGAGUGCUGUAGGGGAGACUGGAAAUCCUGCUGUAGCGGUGAAAUGCGCAGAUAUCAGGAGGAACACCAAUGGCGAAGGCAGGUCUCUGGGCAGUUACUGACGCUGAGGAGCGAAAGCAUGGGUAGCGAACAGGAUUAGAUACCCUGGUAGUCCAUGCCGUAAACGGUGGGCGCUAGGUGUAGGGGACUUCCACGUUCUCUGUGCCGUAGCUAACGCAUUAAGCGCCCCGCCUGGGGAGUACGGCCGCAAGGCUAAAACUCAAAGGAAUUGACGGGGGCCCGCACAAGCGGCGGAGCAUGUGGAUUAAUUCGAUGCAACGCGAAGAACCUUACCUGGGCUUGACAUACACCGGACCGGCGUAGAGAUACGUCUUCCCUUGUGGCCGGUGUACAGGUGGUGCAUGGUUGUCGUCAGCUCGUGUCGUGAGAUGUUGGGUAAGUCCCGCAACGAGCGCAACCCUUGUCUUAUGUUGCCAGCACGUGAUGGUGGGGACUCAUGAGAGACUGCCGGGGUCAACUCGGAGGAAGGUGGGGAUGACGUCAAAUCAUCAUGCCCCUUAUGUCCAGGGCUUCACACAUGCUACAAUGGUCGGUACAGCAGGUCGCGAAUUCGUGAGAGUAAGCCAAUCCUUCAAAGCCGGCCUCAGUUCGGAUUGGGGUCUGCAACUCGACCCCAUGAAGUCGGAGUCGCUAGUAAUCGCAGAUCAGCAACGCUGCGGUGAAUACGUUCCCGGGCCUUGUACACACCGCCCGUC